RNAcentral lists this transfer RNA (91 nucleotides) under Verrucomicrobiaceae bacterium. RNAcentral describes it as "tRNA-Ser". It matches the Rfam family "tRNA". Rfam says of the family: Transfer RNA (tRNA) molecules are approximately 80 nucleotides in length. Their secondary structure includes four short double-helical elements and three loops (D, anti-codon, and T loops). RNAcentral also lists the same sequence under 2 other names. The record is from RNAcentral. Lineage: Bacteria; Pseudomonadati; Verrucomicrobiota; Verrucomicrobiia; Verrucomicrobiales; Verrucomicrobiaceae.
GGACCGAUGGCUGAGUGGUCGAAAGCGCUCCCCUGCUAAGGGAGUAUACUCCAAAAGGGUAUCCAGGGUUCGAAUCCCUGUCGGUCCGCCA